This 258-nucleotide unclassified non-coding RNA is filed under the name uncultured fungus. RNAcentral describes it as "sequence contains ITS1". The record is from RNAcentral. Lineage: Eukaryota; Fungi.
CGGCACGGUGCCGGCGACGCGUGUGUUCAUCAUGGGUGUCGGCGUCGCGGGACUGCAGGCGAUCGCGACCGCGCGCCGCCUCGGCGCGGUCGUCACCGCGACCGACGUGCGGCCCGCCACCAAGGAGCAGGUCGAAAGCCUCGGCGCGAAAUUCCUCGCGGUCGAGGACGAGGAAUUCAAGAACGCGCAGACCGCCGGCGGCUACGCCAAGGAAAUGUCGAAGGAGUAUCAGGCCAAGCAGGCCGCGCUCGUCGCGGA